This is a long non-coding RNA of Oreochromis aureus, 296 nucleotides long. RefSeq lists it as uncharacterized. The record is from RefSeq and is a predicted model, not a curated record. The transcript has 4 exons. Lineage: Eukaryota; Metazoa; Chordata; Actinopteri; Cichliformes; Cichlidae.
AGGUAGUUGGAAGAUGUAAAAUUCUCAAUUCUGCCAACUGAACAUAUACGAGAUUUUAAUGAGGAUAAAUAAUUAGCCGGCAUGGAGGAAACGGACCUUUAUUUGGUGGAGUGGCGACAAGAAGCCAAAAGACGGGUGGCCGGUCUAUGAAGCCUCCAUCAUCAAGCUAGCAGAAAUCCCACCUCUCCUUCUGGCUACAGAGCACUUACUUACCAAGCCCAUGAAAUCGAAUGCAGAUCUUCCUGAUGUGAGAUUUACAUAAAUAUGUCAAAGUCUCAACCUCAUGCUGCCUCCCC